This 253-nucleotide ribosomal RNA is filed under the name uncultured bacterium. Its description in RNAcentral is "partial 16S ribosomal RNA". It matches the Rfam family "Bacterial small subunit ribosomal RNA", at positions 524 to 776 of the family's 1533-position model. The record is from RNAcentral.
UACGAAGGGGGCUAGCGUUGUUCGGAAUCACUGGGCGUAAAGCGCACGUAGGCGGAUCUUUAAGUCAGGGGUGAAAUCCCGAGGCUCAACCUCGGAACUGCCUUUGAUACUGGGGAUCUCGAGUCCGGGAGAGGUGAGUGGAACUGCGAGUGUAGAGGUGAAAUUCGUAGAUAUUCGCAAGAACACCAGUGGCGAAGGCGGCUCACUGGCCCGGAACUGACGCUGAGGAGCGAAAGCGUGGGUAGCAAACAGG